UGCCUAGCUUGCUAGGUGGAUUAGUGGCGAACGGGUGAGUAACACGUGAGUAACCUGCCCCUGACUCUGGGAUAAGCCUGAGAAAUUGGGUCUAAUACUGGAUAUGAACAUUURCCGCAUGGUGGGUGUUGGAAAGAUUUUUUGGUUGGGGAUGGACUCGCGGCCUAUCAGCUUGUUGGUGAGGUAGUGGCUCACCAAGGCGACGACGGGUAGCCGGCCUGAGAGGGUGACCGGCCACACUGGGACUGAGACACGGCCCAGACUCCUACGGGAGGCAGCAGUGGGGAAUAUUGCACAAUGGGCGAAAGCCUGAUGCAGCGACGCCGCGUGAGGGAUGACGGCCUUCGGGUUGUAAACCUCUUUCAGUAAGGAAGAAGCGAAAGUGACGGUACUUGCAGAAGAAGCGCCGGCUAACUACGUGCCAGCAGCCGCGGUAAUACGUAGGGCGCGAGCGUUAUCCGGAAUUAUUGGGCGUAAAGAGCUCGUAGGCGGUUUGUCGCGUCUGCCGUGAAAGUCCGGGGCUUAACUCCGGAUCUGCGGUGGGUACGGGCAGGCUAGAGUGCAGUAGGGGAGACUGGAAUUCCUGGUGUAGCGGUGAAAUGCGCAGAUAUCAGGAGGAACACCGAUGGCGAAGGCAGGUCUCUGGGCUGUAACUGACGCUGAGGAGCGAAAGCAUGGGUAGCGAACAGGAUUAGAUACCCUGGUAGUCCAUGCCGUA
RNAcentral lists this ribosomal RNA (718 nucleotides) under Micrococcus sp. RNAcentral describes it as "bacterial SSU rRNA". It matches the Rfam family "Bacterial small subunit ribosomal RNA", at positions 72 to 804 of the family's 1533-position model. Lineage: Bacteria; Bacillati; Actinomycetota; Actinomycetes; Micrococcales; Micrococcaceae. The record is from RNAcentral.